Molecule: ribosomal RNA, 490 nt
Filed under: uncultured bacterium
Lineage: Bacteria
Description: bacterial SSU rRNA
Rfam family: Bacterial small subunit ribosomal RNA
Source: RNAcentral
AACGAACGCUGGCGGCGCGUCUUAAGCAUGCAAGUCGGACGGAACUUAGCCGAAUGUUUACAUGAGGCGAAAGUUUAGUGGCGGACGGGUGAGUAACACGUGAGCAACCUGCCUUCGAGAGUGGGACAACAGAGAGAAAUUUCUGCUAAUACCGCAUAUGACCACAGUACCGCAUGGUACAGGGGUGAAAGGAGUAAUCCGCUCGAAGAUGGGCUCGCGGCUGAUUAGCUAGUUGGUGAGGUAACGGCCCACCCAAGGCGACGAUCAGUAGCCGAACUGAGAGGUUGAUCGGCCACAUUGGGACUGAGACACGGCCCAGACUCCUACGGGAGGCAGCAGUCGGGAAUAUUGCACAAUGGGGGGAAACCCUGAUGCAGCGACGCCGCGUAAAGGAAGAAGGUCUUCGGAUUGUAAACUUUUGUCGACAGGGAAGAAGAAAGUGACAGGUACCUGUGGAGGAAGCCCCCGGCUAACUACGUGCCAGCAGCCG